CGGAGAGUGCGAACGUUGUUCGGAUUCACUGGGCGUAAAGGGCACGUAGGCGGCUCGGCAAAUCGGUCGUGGAAUCCCGACGCUUACCGUCGGAACGGCGGCCGAAAAUACCGGGCUCGAGGGCGUGAGGGGGUCACUGGAACUCCUGGUGAAGCGGUGAAAUGCGUAGAUAUCAGGAGGAACGCCGGAGGCGAAAGCGAGUGACUGGCGCGUUCCUGACGCUGAGGUGCGAAAGCUAGGGGAGCAAACAGGAUUAGAUACCCUGGUAGUCCUAGCCGUAAACGAUGGACACUGAGUGGGGGAGGGCUUGCCUUUCCCUGCUGCAGCUAACGCGUUAAGUGUCCCGCCUGGGGAGUACGGCCGCAAGGUUA
Molecule: ribosomal RNA, 371 nt
Filed under: uncultured organism
Description: bacterial SSU rRNA
Rfam family: Bacterial small subunit ribosomal RNA
Source: RNAcentral